UGAAACAGGGAAGGCUCUCUGAUAUUUCUUUUCAGGUCAUACUUUGGUGGGGAGAGAAUAGAAACACAGAGAAGCUCAGAUUCUACAAUACAGUGAGGUGCCAGACUCCUACGUGUCAGAAAUUCCUCCGUGUGUUGGAGGGUCUGAGCAUGGCUUGGUUCACAUCACAAAGAAAGCAUGUGGCAGACUGGGGAAUGCAGACAAUGAAUUGGCCUGCUGUGCCUCCAGUGAAAAUGGGCUUGGAGGGCACGCAUUUAAUGACCGUCCAGAAACAAGAAGCAAAGGCAGUGAGCAGGAGGGUUUGGAAAAGAGUAGUGCAUUUCUUACGUAGGGUCUUUACUGGAUCAAACUAAGGUGUGGCUGUACCUGUCAGCAUGAAUUGUUACUGCACUCGGAAGAGGCUGUUCAUUGGAAGAUACUCAAAUUAAAAACAGAGUCCUGUAUUUUCAAGAACUGCAGGGCAAAGGGAAAGAAUAUUCAUACCAAACAUUUUUAACAUACAUAUAUUGGUAUUAUUGGCCCUAGCUCCUGACUCAGUGACAAAAGCAUAUGUGCAUAAAGUGAUUUCUUUGAGGUAAAGUUCAUUAUUCAGUCUGCGCAUGCUGAAUGUCUUGUGUUAACCUUCUCUUUAAGCUUAAGAGUAGACCUGCCACAGUCUCCAUACAUCUUGCCUUUCCUUUUGAAUCACAAAGGAUUCACUUCACUUAUAACAGCCCGACUAAACGUGGUGCAAUUCCAACACUACAAUAUAUAUAUGUAUAUAUAUAUAUAUUUAUAUAUAUAGUAUAUAUAUAAAAGAUGUAUCAAGUUUUUAAAAGAAAUUUCUGGAAGCUUAAACAUAGGAAUGAAGGAAUGAAGACUCAGGGCUUUGUGCAAAGCCCCGGGGACAGCCUGCGACUUUGCUGGAACAAAAGUUUCACUAUAAAUACAUUGCGAAAAGCAAACAUAAUGUAGAUAGGUUCAUUGUAUUUCUCUUGCACCUUCUCGCUUUUGUUUAAGUUUAAACCAAUCUUUUGGAACUAUGAGUCAUUUUCAGAACAGAGAGUGAUUCAGGAGAUGUAAUCUUUGUGUUUUAUAGGCCAGCAUCAUUAGAUAGGCCCUAUGCAAAUUAACAGAAACGUCGCUGAACAACAGUGACUGGCUUACCAUGUAUUUAUGGUUGCUUCUAACUCUCAGCCAGAAAACAUAAAUGUCUCUCUGGUGGAAACGUGUUUGGUGAGCAAUAACCCUCUCAGUUGGAGAAGAUCCAUCUGUCUUCCCUUCUACUUCAUGCAUCUUCACCACUGAAAAGAAGUUCAAGGAAAAUCAAGUUUCAGUUGUCAAAAAACCUGAUGCUUAAGAAUGAUUCUGUGAAAUAGACCAAAAAAAAAAGCAGCUGAAUAUUUUGUGGCUUAAUUUCAAGAUUCCCAUCGGUGCUAUAAAAAUACAAUUGAGUUUUAACUACUGCCUUCAUGCUAUCAAGAUGAUCCUGUAAAACUUAACUAUUUUGGUGUUUGCUAUUAUCUGAUUCUUUAGCAUGAAGAGGGAAGCAAAAGUAUUUUCCAAGAUUAUAUUAAUAUUUUCUUUCAGUUACAAGCUACAUCAAUUAAUUUCUUUAUAAACUCUACUAGAACAAGUUCCCACUGAUUCCUGGUUACUAUAAACAACAUCUGGGUACUGCACUGGUGCACAAGUUCUGUAAACACAUACUUUUAUAUCCAUCACAUCCUGAUGUUUCACAAGGAUAAAGCUGAUGUUCCCCUAAAAAAUAGAGAAGGCAGAUGCCUGUAGUGAUUUCACCGAAGUUACAACGUGAAGCAUGUGUGAUGUUAGGUACUUUACAGUACUUCUAAAGGGAGAAAGAAUGUGGCCGCAGAAAGGGAAUCCUGCCCGCAUGUUUGAUUCUUGAAAUGCACGUUAAAAGAUUUUUAUAUAUAAUAAAAGGCAAACAGUAAUAGAACCCCGCAGAUGGAGACAACUGUAGCACAGAGAGUGAAAAAUGUCUCACAGUCGGGCAGUGGCAGAACCAGCAAUGAAACACAAACCUCUUGCUCUGCUGGUUUACUCUCCAACUAAUUCACAUAAUAGGGGGUAGGGCUCUUUGCAGUGCUUCAGGCUGAUGGAGGUUACGCCUACAUAAAGUCCACACUUUUACCCUUGUACAAAGCCCCAAGCCCCUUUUACUUGCUUUUGGAGCCCUCACAGAGACCCUGUAGCUCAGAGGGGAUCUGAGUGUGGGUCAAACAGCAGAUAACAGCUGAGAAGGGUUUUAAGAAAAGGUUUCUGGCUGCUUCUUGGCUGUUUGCUUCCCGGCUGAGGAGGGAGCCCAUCUGUGCAAGCCUUCCUCCUUCAUUUCAGUGCUGGCAGCGAGCUGCAGUCUCUGCUUAGGAGCAGUGCCACGAGCUGUGCCUUCCAGGAACAGGAGAGGAUGCAGCGUGGCCGUGUGGGUGUGUGGUGCACCCUUUGGGCCCCAGACGCAGGGACAAGACAAGCACAAAAGGGAGAGUAGGAAAAUGGAAUAUGCACAACUGGUUUAAUGCCAUGGGUUGUACACGUUUCUGAUACCGGCGUUUGCACUCAUUACGUGAUGUGCUUUCUCUUUAAUGGAAUUCUCUUAGACGUGCUGCUGAUAGGCUCUCUUCCCAUCUCUCCUUGAAUUCAAACAUUAUGGCUGAUUGAAAAAUAAGCAUGCAUUUUUCUGCUUUUUUCUUCUUUCAGUGUUUUUUUUUGGUCAGGUGGAAACAAUGAGGUGAACUCAUUUGUGACAGGCCCUUCUUCAGGCCUCUCCAACGUGGUCUGUAACGAGGGCACAGUGGAAAUUCCACAAAGAAGCCCAGAAGCUUUUCAGUUUGGGCAACCGUGUUGUUGUCUGCGUUUUAUUCGCAUCAAUCAGGUUUUUUUCACACCCAUCUUAGCUUCUUAUUGGUACCACAAGUCAACGCUUGCUGGAAAACGCCACCCUUGGAAAACAACCUGUAACGUACGACUGCUGUCUCUUCGUGUAUUUUCUGCUCAGAUCUUAACAUGCGCUUCCUCUGAAGGCCACCAGCGAUAAUAUUCACUCCCUCUCCAGAACCACGGAUUGAUUACCCCAGUUCAGCUGUCAGGGAGCAGAAAGAAUUAAACCAAAGUCUCCUGGAUCCCAGGAAAAUGGCAUUACCGAUACCUCAACAUUUGGAGCAUCACUACAGUGUAUGCCCACUUAGGACAUAGUGCCAAACUUUGCCUCACGCACUAAGAGGUGUUCUUCUGAGUGCUGCUGAGCUUGGCUGAGCACAGGAAGGUUAAAGCGAAUAGCGGCAGCUCCUCUGUGAGGAGGAAGAUCUGCAUCACGAAGCUAUGACAGAUAUCCAAGCACAUUUGUAGUCUGUGUGGAGAAUCUUCCUUUUGCACUGACCCCUCUCACAGGGCGUCAGAAAAUUUCUUCUGGGAUCACAUAUUUCUUUCCAGUCUGCUUUAGGCUGCCGGGUGUUGCAUAUUAUGAGAGUAAAUUUCCAAGGCCUUAGCCCUGCAUGGACUAUGUUUGAAACUAUGACAUCCAUUCCUAGGGUCCAGUACCUAAAACAUAUUUCUAGGCCUGUAUGUGGAUUCAAAAGAGAGGUAAAAUCUUUUGCCUGCUUGAGAUGCUCCAGUGUCAGCCAGAUCAAGCUUCCAGCAAACUGUGAGAACGGCAGGCCAUUUCCUUUAUAUAGGGGGAAAACACAGAGGAAGAGUUUGAUUAAGCUGCUGAAGUGAUUGAUAUAGCCGGUUGCUGUGGCCCUGGCUGCUGGCCAGCAACACUGGGCAGCCGGGAAGUGAUGGAAGCACGACGACUUGGGGAAAGCAGAUAAUGGGCAAGUAAAUUGUAUGGCAUGUCCGUAAAUACAGGAAAUUCCUGUCCUGAAGACACAGCCUUCUUUGCCUUAAUAUUAUACAUGAAUCCUCUUGCUGGGUGGAUGAUGGCACGAAGGAGAAAAUUAACUUUCAGAGUCAAAACAAGAAGUGUGACAUAUUUCUUGUGCAAUGAUGAAGGGAUCUAUGCUCUCCUGGAGAGCACAAAGCUUUAACCUCCGACAGCCUCUGCUGGGAGGGCUGAGAAGCAACUGAGGCCACAGCUCUGCUGAGUUUGCACCAGAGAGUCUUAAUUUCUUUACAGGGCUCUUUGUGAGACUUGCAAUAGACAAGGGCCCAAUCUUAGUCUCUCUGGCCCCAAACCAAGUGCAUUGCAGUUGAUUCUCCAUCCCACCAACCUCCUCUGAGCUCCACUGGGAAUCAGCUACUGACAUUUGCACUGUGCCUGGAAUGUGAGCAGCACUGUGCUAAAUCAGCGCUGGGGCAAUGUUGCCAGCUCCUAUUUUUUAUGAAGAAAGCAUGAGAGUGCUUGAAAUGUUCCUUGAAGGCUGUGCUUGUGGAUCCAUGAGAGCGCUCGCAUCUGAAAGUUUCUUAAGAAAGGGGAAAAAGAAAAAGAAGUUGAAAAUAUGGACAUGAACCAAAUGCAAAAAAUCAGAAGAGAACCAAACAAUAUAAAAUAGAACAUGCUGUUUAACACUCACGAUUUCUGUGGCGUGGUCAAUCACUUUUCAAUGCCUGGGCUCAGCAGAAGUGGAGGAAUUACAGAAAAGUAUGGACAACAUUUCUUGCAGCUCUUUCUGAGGGAAGAAAGAACUGAGGAACAAAGGGAACAUGAGAAGGCCUUUGUCUAUUUCUCAGUGGGUGACCAUGCCAGUCACUGAGUGAGACAGAAGGCAGCAGUGUGUGCCUGGUGGCCCUUGGAGCUUCAGGCCAUUCAGAGGAUGAUUGAACGGCCAUGGCUAGAGCCUGGGAGAGCAGAAUGUGUUGGGCAAUAAUAUCGGCCUGGUCUGUGUGACUGGGCAGCUGUCCUCAGACAACCAGCUCAUUUCACUGAAUGCCCCUCUGAUGGCAAUAACUUCUAGCCCCCACUAACUGCAAAUGGAUGGAGAUGGGUGACCUGGAGGUGAGAGGUGCCAUCUUCCAUUCCAGUGCUCUGAGUCACUUGCUGGCUCCUCACAAUGAGCUCUCUGUGCUGCUUUGAGGGAUGCUUUUGCCUUGCUGCUCUCCAGCACUGGUCGUAGGCCGCAGUUGGAACAAAUGGGCUGUUUUCAACAAACCCUUCCCCUCUGGCCCCUUGUUUAUUUUAGAGGGCAUGGUAGUAUGUAAUGUGUAGCCUCAGCAUUUGCUGAUCACAAAGAUCUCUCUUAGUUUCACUCGCCUUGACAAUCCAGACCUUUGCAAUAGCCUGGGGACUGUACAGUUCACACCAGAGUAUGUGCUGUGGACUACCAGAGAGGAGCAAACACAGGCUGCAAGUAAAGAGACUCUGCAGGAUACUACUGGGCCCUGGGCAACCUGAUCUAGUGCCUGGUUGGCAACUUUGCCCAUGGUGUGUGUUUGGGGGGGGGAGCUAGGUUAUGUUUGAAGUCCCUUCCAACACAAGCCAUUCUAUGAAGCUAUGAUUCUAUGAUUCUACUGCCUGAAUAUAAAAUGGAGAAGAAGACACUUGUGUAUUCUACUGGCACUGGUCUAGCUGAAGUCAGUGGCAGUGGUGUGCUGAUGACUGAUAUGUUUACAUGCAUGCGGAAAUAUGGCUCAUUAUUUCCACCAUCCAAUUCCACUAUUGAACUGCUCCCCUCCUUGUUUAGACAGACACCGUGUGCUGUGUCAGAGCAGGACAGACGUGGUGUGAAAAACCUGCAGCACGUAAGCCAUGUUAAGAAAACGUUAUACUUCAGCCCAGUCCUUCACUGUGCCAAAAACAUGGAAAACUUGUUAACUGAAAUGAGAAGAAUAAGGAAAGACUGCAUGAAGCUCCCUCCUAAUAUUUCCCAUCCAUUGUGCUUCAUUUUUUUUCUGUUCUGAGGCACUGCCUUUGCCUGAAGUGCCACACUGAAGUGCUAAUGCUUACGUGUAUGUUUGCUCUGCUUGGUUACAACAAUGCCUUCAUGCUGUUUAUUUUUGCGAAAUAAAUGUGAACCUCUGUAGGGCCCUGGUGCCCUUGUGUUUUGCAGCAAAGGUCAGGAGUCUAUUCAUAAGACUUCCAAAGUGUUAUUGUUAAAACAUCACUUUGCUAUGUCACUGUUUUCCCUUUCCUCUCCUCACUCAAAAUAAUACAUUGUCAUUAGCAGCUCAUAACCCUCUCUGUCUAAGCACAGCAUAUUCAGCUUUCCUUGAUUUUUUUCCCAAGCUUCCUUCCUAUUUAAACAAAGAAUUGUUUUCAUCAGUUUGGGCUCAAAUAUUCCUAGCCUUGCUGUCAUGAAAAAAAAAAUAUGACUCUGUUUUAUGCCACAAUUUCUAAUCGCUGCAGUUUUAUUGCUGUUACGAGCAUUGUGAUUUAUUCCAACAGGAACAUAUGUUCUUAUAUUGGCAUUCUUGCAGUGUUCACUCUGACCUUUGUGAGAGCCUAUCUGUGGAUAAUGUGACCAAAACUUUAGGCUUUUAAUAUGUUUGUCAGCUUAUGAAUCCCUGUAAAUGAUACCUGAACAAGAAGGGAGAAUGAGAGAAAGAUGUGCUAUUGUAACUCAGUAACUGUGUGUGUUGCUGGCUCCUGUACUAAUAACUCAAGGUUUGUCAGUUACACCACGUAUAUUGAUUUCAGAAGUCUUUAACUUAGCAUUUAAUUUCUUACUCAAUGACUUUUAAAGUCAGAAAGAUCCACCUGAUUAUUCAAAAUGCCAUUUUCAGUGGUGUGGACUCAAAGUUAUUACUGAAGCAAUCUUUAUUCUGAGCCUAGCAUGGCGUCCCUGACCAAAUUUCAUCCCAUGUCAAAGUUACUGGUCCUCCAUCUAAGCAUACAUACUGAGUAAACCCAAAACUUGCUCACCGCAUGCCAGAAGUUGACCAUAUUCAUUGUUAAAGAAUGUACAUACUUCUUCAGAUUUAUCUAUGUUGAUGUCUUGAAACUACUGGUUUCAGUGCAUUCUUUUACAUUAGAAAAUUGUAUUUUUCCCUCUGAGAGCAUUUAUUCACUCUAAGCAGACCUCUGGGUCUUCAUUUUGAUAAACAGAAUAGAGGAAGCUCUGUAGGUGUCUUAGUUAGCAGGGCAAAUUCUGUACCUGAUGAAUAAUAAGGAAAUUCAACCCUGCCAACUUCUGUAAGGGAUCAACAGACUGAGAGUAGCUAGUGUCCAUAUUGCAUCAGGUAUUGCCAAGCUGUCCCUGGAAGUCUUGUUAGUAAGUUGAAGAGCUGUGUGUAAUGACUGGUUUUGAAAUCAGUGUCUUUGAUCUCUUAAUCAACGACUGGCAUAUAAAAGAACAGGGCCAUUAGCAAAAGUUUUCAAUUGACAGUUAUGCUGAGGCUGAAGGUCAGCUGGAAAAAGGAAAUUAAUGGAACAUUCAACUGAAGUUAUUAGUCAGGCAUAUUGUUAUGGGUGGUUUUGGAAGUACAGCAUUUGAAAGAACAGCCUGGUCUAGUAUUAAAUGGGGAGGUUGGUGGCCCUGCCUGUGGCAGGGGGGUUGGAACUUGAUGAUCCUUGAGGUCCCUUCCAACCCAAGUCGUUUUAUGACAAUAUUCGUUCCUUUUUUUUUCCACUUUUGUGAAACUACUGCUGUGAUUUUUGAGGGAAAUGUGAUUUACGUGAUCACAGCAACUGUCUCUCCAACUCUCUGCCGUAGGUUAUGAAAUCUUUGGCUGGUCCUAUUUUUUGGGGAGAUACCUGGGAGGAGGUUAGACAGGUCUGUGUUGCUGCAGAAGGAGAGGCAGGUAUAACUCAGCCAUCCAACACUCUCCUUGAUGGUAGCAGCUGACCCAUCAGCAUAUGCGCAGGGCUGGCUGGCUAACACACACACAAGCUUUUUCUUUGGGGUGAUAAGGAGGAGGCAGCAGCAAGUGUUUUAGAGGCUGAAUUGGGCUAUUGCAUUAGUGAUGCUGGAAUAAAGGAACAAAGGAUACGUUUUCAUAGGAAACCAAUCUUCCUGUGGAGUUUUAUGAACUGCAAAACUAAUCAUGAACUGUGGGCAUGGAUACUGUGUGGAGUGUUGCAUGCUCAGAAGAGAUAAUUUCCUGUAAAUCAGAUAUAGAUGUCACAAAAUUAAAGAUGCUACCUGUGUCAGUUGCUAGUGGCUAUAAGAAAGAUAUUUGCUGUUUUUGGAUUUUUAUAUCUCUAUGACUUUGUUGAUAUGAGUGAAUGAUUAUUUGUCUAAAAAUGUGGUCUGCAUUAUACAACACUCUAUAGUGCUGUGAAUAGGAGUCUGCAGGCUGAGGCAGGCAAGAGAUUUCUCUGUGAUUAUAUAUAUAUAUCUGCCAUAACACAAAUGGAAUAAAAUAUUCCUACCAGCUCUGACUGUCAUCCACUUCUGGUAAUUAAUAUAUUUUGUGAUGACUUUUACUGUCCCCACAAUGAAUUAUUAUCCUACCUAUUGCCUUAAAUGAUUAGUAACACAAAUUCCAAUAUCCUGGCCCAUUAUACUGACAAGCCAGCAAUUAUAUAUCCAAAUGUAUGGACUCGCAAGAUAGGCCAUCAUCUCUUGGAGAAACAAGUUCAGAG
RNAcentral lists this long non-coding RNA (8458 nucleotides) under Gallus gallus (chicken). Its description in RNAcentral is "lncRNA (ENSGALG00010003188.1)". Lineage: Eukaryota; Metazoa; Chordata; Aves; Galliformes; Phasianidae. The record is from RNAcentral.